This 124-nucleotide ribosomal RNA is filed under the name uncultured bacterium. RNAcentral's name for it is "partial 16S ribosomal RNA". It matches the Rfam family "Bacterial small subunit ribosomal RNA", at positions 394 to 509 of the family's 1533-position model. The record is from RNAcentral.
ACGCCGCGUGAGUGAAGAAGGGGUUUCGGCUCGUAAAGCUCUGUUGGUAGUGAAGAAAGAUAGAGGUAGUAACUGGCCUUUAUUUGACGGUAAUUACUUAGAAAGUCACGGCUAACUACGUGCC